ACGCAAUAGAUACCCCGGUAGUCCACGCCCUAAACGAUGUCUACUAGUUGUCGGGUCUUAAUUGACUUGGUAAACGCAGCUAAACGCGUGAAGUAGACCGCCUGGGGAGUACGGUCGCAAGAUUAAAACUCAAAGGAAUUGACGGGGACCCGGCACAAGCGGUGGAUGAUGUGGAUUAAUUCGAUGCAACGCGAAAAACCUUACCUACCCUUGACAUGGAAGGAAUCCCUGAGAGAUCGGGGAGUGCUCGAAAGAGAACCUUUACACAGGUGCUGCAUGGCUGUCGUCAGCUCGUGUCGUGAGAUGUUGGGUUAAGUCCCGCAACGAGCGCAACCCUUGUCAUUAGUUGCUACGAAAGGGCACUCUAAUGAGACUGCCGGUGACAAACCGGAGGAAGGUGGGGAUGACGUCAAGUCCUCAUGGCCCUUAUGGGUAGGGCUUCACAC
This 446-nucleotide ribosomal RNA is filed under the name uncultured bacterium. RNAcentral's name for it is "bacterial SSU rRNA". It matches the Rfam family "Bacterial small subunit ribosomal RNA", at positions 772 to 1221 of the family's 1533-position model. The record is from RNAcentral.